This 538-nucleotide ribosomal RNA is filed under the name uncultured bacterium. Its description in RNAcentral is "bacterial SSU rRNA". It matches the Rfam family "Bacterial small subunit ribosomal RNA", at positions 358 to 917 of the family's 1533-position model. The record is from RNAcentral.
GGGAUUUGGCAUGGGGGAACCCUGNCCAGCAAUGCCGCGUGAGUGAGGAAGGCCUUAGGGUUGUAAAGCUCUUUCGCGCGCGACGAUGAUGACGGUAGCGCGAGAAGAAGCCCCGGCUAACUUCGUGCCAGCAGCCGCGGUAAUACGAAGGGGGCGAGCGUUGUUCGGAAUUACUNGGGCNGUAAAGGGCGCGCAGGCGGCUCUUCAAGUCAGGCGUGAAAGCCCCGGGCUCAACCUGGGAAUGGCGCAUGGGACUGGAGGGCUAGAGUUCGGGAGAGGAGCGUGGAAUUCCCAGUGUAGAGGUGAAAUUCGUAGAUAUUGGGAAGAACACCGGUGGCGAAGGCGGCGCUCUGGACCGAGACUGACGCUGAGGCGCGAAAGCGUGGGGAGCAAACAGGAUUAGAUACCCUGGUAGUCCACGCCCUAAACGAUGUCUACUAGUUGUCGGGUCUUAAUUGACUUGGUAACGCAGCUAACGCGUGAAGUAGACCGCCUGGGGAGUACGGUCGCAAGAUUAAAACUCAAAAAAAUUGACGGA